Non-coding RNA from Tetraodon nigroviridis (spotted green pufferfish), 46 nucleotides. The record is from Rfam. Lineage: Eukaryota; Metazoa; Chordata; Actinopteri; Tetraodontiformes; Tetraodontidae.
ACAACGGCUCUUUUAAGAGCCACUCACUUUCUACUAAGAGCAGCGU